This 1492-nucleotide long non-coding RNA is filed under the name Sus scrofa (pig). Its description in RNAcentral is "lncRNA (ENSSSCG00030003156.1)". Lineage: Eukaryota; Metazoa; Chordata; Mammalia; Artiodactyla; Suidae. The record is from RNAcentral.
AAAACCAGUAGAACAUACAUUCUUUUCAAGUGCACAUGGAACAUUUUCCAGGUAGAUCACGUGCUAGGUCAGAAAACAAGUCUCAAUAAAUUUAAGAAGAUUGAAAUCUUAUCAAGCAUUUUUUCCAAACGCAAAGUCAUUACUAGAAAUCAUCUAUGAGAAAAAAAUUGCAAAAUGCACAAACACAUGGAGGCUAAAUGAUAUGCUACUGAAAAACUAGUGGGUCAUUGAGAAAAUUAAAAAAAAAAUAUGGAGACAAAUAAAAUGGAAAUACUAUGACCCAAAAUCUAUGGGACUCAGCAAAAGCAGUUCUAAGAGGUAAGUUUAUAGUGAUACAAGCCUAUCCCAGGAAUCAGGAAAAAUAUCAAACAACCUAACCUUGCACCUACUGGAAUUAGAAAAAGAAGAACAAACAAAACCAGAAAUUAAGAAAAUAAAUCAUAAAUAUCAAGAAAUAAAUGAAAUAGAGACCAAAAACAAUUAAAAAAUCAAUGAAACUAAGAGAUGAUUCUUUAAAAGGAUAAACAAAAUGGAUAAAACUAAUCAAGACCAAUGAGAGAGAGAGAGAGAAAGGACCGAAAUAAAUAAAAUCAAAAAUGAAAAGAAUUUACAGCUGAUACCACAGAAAUACAAAGGAUCAUAGGAGACUACUAUGAACAAUUUUAUGCCAUAAAAUGGGCAGCUCAGAAGAAAUGAAUAAAUUCUUGGAAACGUACAAUCUCCUAAGAUUUAAUCAGAUAGAAAUGGAAAAUAUGGACAGAGAGACUACCACCAAUGAAGUUAAAUCAAUAAUUUUAAAACUCCCAACAAACAGAAGUCCAGGACCAGUUUUCACAGGUGAAUUCUGACAAACAUUUAAAGAAGAGUAAAUUUAAAGAAGAGUCAAACUAUUUCAAAGAAAUUCAGGAGGAAGGAAUGCUUCCAAACUCAUUCUAUGAGGCCAUCAUAACCCUAAAAUCAAAACCAGACAAAGAUACCAAAGAGAGAGAGAGAGAAGAAAAUUAUAGGACCAUAUCACUGAUAGUUAGGUUCAAAAAUGCUCAACAAAAUAUUAGCAAAUUAAUGUCAACAAUACAAUAAUCAUAUAACAUGAUCAAAUGAGAUUUAUCGGUAGGAUGCAAGAAUGUCUCAAUACCAAUAAGUCAAUCACUGUGAGACACCUCAUUAACAAACUGAAGAAUAAAAAUCAUAUGAUCAUCUCAAUAGAUACAAAAAAAAACUUUUGACAAUAUUCAGCAUCCAUAUAUGAGAAAAACUCUCAACCAAGUGGGUAUUGAGGGAACAUACCUCAACAUAAUAAAGACAAUAUAUGACAAACCUACAGGCAACAUUAUACUCAACAGUGAAAAGCUGAAAGCAGAGUAAAAGAAAACAAAACCAAAAGGCAGCCUACCUAAUAGAAGAAGAUAUUUGCAAAUGAUGUAUCUGGUAGUGGGCUCAUAUCCGAAAUAUGCAAAGAACUCAUACACCUCAACAUCAAAAAAAAAAAAAA